RNAcentral lists this ribosomal RNA (125 nucleotides) under Diaporthe sp. Its description in RNAcentral is "partial small subunit ribosomal RNA". It matches the Rfam family "Eukaryotic small subunit ribosomal RNA", at positions 1657 to 1779 of the family's 1831-position model. The record is from RNAcentral. Lineage: Eukaryota; Fungi; Ascomycota; Sordariomycetes; Diaporthales; Diaporthaceae.
CCUUUGUACACACCGCCCGUCGCUACUACCGAUUGAAUGGUUCAGUGAGGCUUUCGGACUGGCCCAGGGAGGUCGGCAACGACCACCCAGGGCCGGAAAGUUAUCCAAACUCGAUCAUUUAGAGG